CUGUAGGAGUUUCUACCAGUACAGCUGUGCCAGUGAGGGGCCUGAAGUGGUGUGAUUCCUGACUGACAUUGCUGUGCUAGCAGAAGCUCCUAGUA
RNAcentral lists this microRNA precursor (95 nucleotides) under Alligator mississippiensis (American alligator). RNAcentral's name for it is "microRNA ami-mir-9611 precursor". The record is from miRBase by way of RNAcentral. Lineage: Eukaryota; Metazoa; Chordata; Crocodylia; Alligatoridae.